Molecule: ribosomal RNA, 399 nt
Filed under: uncultured bacterium
Lineage: Bacteria
Description: bacterial SSU rRNA
Rfam family: Bacterial small subunit ribosomal RNA
Source: RNAcentral
AUCUUGCGCAAUGGGCGAAAGCCUGACGCAGCAACGCCGCGUGCGGGAUGACGGCCUUCGGGUUGUAAACCGCUUUCAGCAGGGACGAAAUUGACGGUACCUGCAGAAGAAGCCCCGGCCAACUACGUGCCAGCAGCCGCGGUAACACGUAGGGGGCGAGCGUUGUCCGGAAUUAUUGGGCGUAAAGAGCUCGUAGGCGGCUUUGUCAGUCGGGUGUGAAACCUCCAGGCUCAACCUGGAGCCGCCAUCCGAUACUGCAAUAGCUAGAGUCCGGUAGGGGAGCAUGGAACUCCUGGUGUAGCGGUGAAAUGCGCAGAUAUCAGGAAGAACACCAGUGGCGAAGGCGGUGCUCUGGGCCGGAACUGACGCUGAGGAGCGAAAGCGUGGGGAGCAAACAGG